This 771-nucleotide long non-coding RNA is filed under the name Gallus gallus (chicken). RNAcentral describes it as "lncRNA (ENSGALG00010015577.1)". The record is from RNAcentral. Lineage: Eukaryota; Metazoa; Chordata; Aves; Galliformes; Phasianidae.
CGGAGGGCGAAGUCGGGCGCUCGGUCGUGAUUCAGCGCUUCUGUUUUUAACCGGCCCGUGCCCGGUUCGGUGUCGCGGGGAUGAAGGGCUCCCAGCGCCGCGCCGGUGCCUCGUUGGGCGUUCGGAGCGAACGUGAGGUAAUUUCUGCUUUUUGGUUGGUUCUUUUUUUGUUGUUGUUGUUGUUGUUUUUGUUUUUUUUUUCCUUCAGGCUUUGCGCUCGGAGGGAAAACCCGGUUUAAAACGAAAGCCCCUCCGCAGCGCUUUCCCCACCUCCCGCGCACGCUGUGGUGGAGAGAGGGGCAGAACGGCGGUGUUUCCCUUUGGACGACGAGCGCCGGCUGACGGCCCGCCGCCCCCAGGCACUGCCACGGCACCACAGAUGGCCUCAGCUGUGCCGGGGGAGGAACGGGUUGGGUGUCAGGAAGCGUUUCUUGCCACAAAGACCAGUGGUGCUGUCAGCGCUGGGCACCUGCGUGAGGAAACGCCGGCGCAGUUGUCAGGAGAGCGUGGAAAGAAGAUAUUUAUCGCAUUAGCCCUGCACGAUCAAGGAGAAGGCUGGCUGUUUGAGGAUGCUUUAUUAAUGAAUGCUAGAGGACAUCUUCACCCCUCCUAAGGCACAAAUUGGGGAGGUAGUCGGCCCUGAAGCCGUGGAAUUCCCUCGCACGAAGAAGAGGGUUUUUAAACCCAAAGGCACAAUCCAUGCAGGCACUCCACCACAGGCAUCUUAGUUUCUCAAACCAGAGACCAGCACAACAGACCUUCUAAAGUCUC